Molecule: transfer RNA, 73 nt
Filed under: Desulfuromonas sp. SDB
Lineage: Bacteria; Pseudomonadati; Thermodesulfobacteriota; Desulfuromonadia; Desulfuromonadales; Desulfuromonadaceae
Also listed under: 2 other names
Description: tRNA-Arg
Rfam family: tRNA
About the family: Transfer RNA (tRNA) molecules are approximately 80 nucleotides in length. Their secondary structure includes four short double-helical elements and three loops (D, anti-codon, and T loops).
Source: RNAcentral
GCGCCCGUGGCUCAAUGGAUAGAGCGCCGGACUACGAAUCCGUAGGUUGUAGGUUCGACUCCUACCGGGCGCG